This 72-nucleotide transfer RNA is filed under the name Caudoviricetes sp. RNAcentral describes it as "tRNA-Arg". It matches the Rfam family "tRNA". From Rfam's summary of the family: Transfer RNA (tRNA) molecules are approximately 80 nucleotides in length. Their secondary structure includes four short double-helical elements and three loops (D, anti-codon, and T loops). The record is from RNAcentral. Lineage: Duplodnaviria; Heunggongvirae; Uroviricota; Caudoviricetes.
GGUCUGAUAGUUCAAUGGAUAGAACGUAUCACUACGGAUGAUAAGAUAUAGGUUCGAUUCCUAUUUGGACUA